GUAGGUGAACCUGCGGAAGGAUCAUUACCAAAUCCAAAAAACUUUAUCAACCCUUUGUGUGCACCGAGAAUGGUUACGUUUCCCCCUGUUCCCACCCCCCGCCUGCACUUGCUGUUGGCGGGAGAAAGAGGAGGGGGAGAUGACUUUUUUUUCCAACCCCUUUCCAACCAUUUUAUCCAACAUUACAUCUAUGCUGAAAGCAAAAAAAAACGAAACAUGAGACAACUUUUAACGGUGGAUCUCUUGGCUC
This 250-nucleotide unclassified non-coding RNA is filed under the name plant metagenome. Its description in RNAcentral is "partial contains small subunit ribosomal RNA, internal transcribed spacer 1, and 5.8S ribosomal RNA". The record is from RNAcentral.